Molecule: ribosomal RNA, 449 nt
Filed under: uncultured bacterium
Lineage: Bacteria
Description: bacterial SSU rRNA
Rfam family: Bacterial small subunit ribosomal RNA
Source: RNAcentral
GCCCAGACUCCUACGGGAGGCAGCAGUGGGGAAUAUUGGACAAUGGGGGGAACCCUGAUCCAGCGACUCCGCGUGAGUGAAGAAGUAUUUCGGUAUGUAAAGCUCUAUCAUCAUGGAAGAAAAUGACGGUACCUGACUAAUAAGCCCCGUCUAACUACGUGCCAGCAGCCGCGGUAAUACGUAGGGGGCAAGCUUUAUCCGGAUUUACUGGGUGUAAAGGGAGCGUAGACGGCAGCGCAAGUCUGAAGUGAAAUGCCGGGGCUUAACCCCGGAACUGCUUUGGAAACUGUGCAGCUAGAGUGCAGGAGAGGUAAGUGGAAUUCCUAGUGUAGCGGUGAAAUGCGUAGAUAUUAGGAGGAACACCAGUGGCGAAGGCGGCUUACCGGACUGUAACUGACGUUGAGGCUCGAAGGCGUGGGGAGCAAACAGGAUUAGAUACCCGAGUAACA